Long non-coding RNA from Passer domesticus (house sparrow), 1085 nucleotides. RefSeq lists it as uncharacterized. The record is from RefSeq and is a predicted model, not a curated record. The transcript has 2 exons. Lineage: Eukaryota; Metazoa; Chordata; Aves; Passeriformes; Passeridae.
UUCGCCUCGCCCUGCCAGGGGCCCCGCGGGGCCGCUGCACCGAGCUGCUCACGCCGAAUGCUGCAUUCCCUCCUCUCUCGCUCCUGUUGUGGGAAAGCGAGGCCUUUCUUUUCCAGCCUCAUUUCAUUUUGUUGUUAAAUUGCGUUGGCCACCCCAGCUGAUUGAAGAGCAGCACAGUUGUUGGGAUUUCUUCAAAUGAUUCUGACAGGCAAGCUAGCGCUAAAGCAAAUAACAGUGGAUAAUAUUACAAGAGUAGAAGGCAAACAAGUAAGCUUGAAAAUGGUAUUUCUACAAGUGAAGUUCUCCCUGAUGUCUAGAGAAGACAGUAUCUUGGUUCAAGAGGAUCGUGCUCCAAGUUUGAAUAGAAAAAGGCUGCAGUCAGGCAGCCAAGGGACAAGAACACUUCAAAGCAGAACAAAUGAAACUGGACCAUGUCAUUUUGCAAUAAAAUGUGAAGUCAUGUAAUAGUGCCCUUUUAAGCCACUUGUGACUUUUAAGACUUCAAAUGAAAUGCUAUUAGCACAGACAGAUAAACAUGCUAAGCUGUUAUUUGCCUGGGGCGAUACCCUUGUGAUUUGUAACAGGCAAUGAAAAUAUAGUAGCCUAGGUGUUCAGGAAGAACGACAUGAACACCAGUAAUCUCUUCAGACUGAUGCCAAGACCUCUGAUAACAAGUCCCCCAGAAAACCUUGUGUUAAUCAAAAUGACUGGGUAUUUUUUUACCUUAUUAUAAAAGUUUUCAUAAAUAGAAAAGACUUUUAGAAGAUGAAGAGGAAAGAUGAAAUUUGUAGAAAAAGAAAAAAAGUAUUUAUAUCAACCUCACAUUUGUUUUUGAGUUACAAAUGAAAAAUAAAAUCACUAUGGCUAUUUAUCAAAGAGUUACAAAUAUCUGCCUUGAUUAUACAUUCUGGCACGUCAAUCUCUUUGCCCAAGCAAACCCAGUGAAAAUGUUGGCAAUAUAACCUCUCUGGAAUUUGCAACACAAUUUGCAGAACUGGGAGCUUGAAGAGAAAUCACACCAUAUCUGGUUAAAAAAAAUUGCAAAUAAAGUGACAGGUUCACAUUGCAUCUGAUGUGAAAAUUUA